This 497-nucleotide ribosomal RNA is filed under the name uncultured bacterium. Its description in RNAcentral is "partial 16S ribosomal RNA". It matches the Rfam family "Bacterial small subunit ribosomal RNA", at positions 28 to 507 of the family's 1533-position model. The record is from RNAcentral.
GAUGAACGCUGGCGGCGUGCCUAAUACAUGCAAGUCGAGCGAACAGAUAAGGAGCUUGCUCCUUUGACGUUAGCGGCGGACGGGUGAGUAACACGUGGGUAACCUACCUAUAAGACUGGGAUAACUUCGGGAAACCGGAGCUAAUACCGGAUAACAUUUGGAACCGCAUGGUUCUAAAGUGAAAGAUGGUUUUGCUAUCACUUAUAGAUGGACCCGCGCCGUAUUAGCUAGUUGGUAAGGUAACGGCUUACCAAGGCAACGAUACGUGGCCGACCUGAGAGGGUGAUCGGCCACACUGGAACUGAGACACGGUCCAGACUCCUACGGGAGGCAGCAGUAGGGAAUCUUCCGCAAUGGGCGAAAGCCUGACGGAGCAACGCCGCGUGAGUGAUGAAGGGUUUCGGCUCGUAAAACUCUGUUAUUAGGGAAGAACAAACGUGUAAGUAACUGUGCACGUCUUGACGGUACCUAAUCAGAAAGCCACGGCUAACUACGUG